RNAcentral lists this small RNA (706 nucleotides) under Pongo abelii (Sumatran orangutan). RNAcentral's name for it is "processed transcript". The record is from RNAcentral. Lineage: Eukaryota; Metazoa; Chordata; Mammalia; Primates; Hominidae.
GUCUGGCUCGGGCUGGGGCCGGCGGGAGCGCGAACCAGCGACGGCGGAAUCCGUGGGCCUGUGGACUGCAGCCUCGGCGGCCAGCAGAGUACUUGUGAUUUCACGUAUUUUUGCUGAACUCGUAAAAGAGACAUUUGGAUGGUGGAUUAACCAGAACACUAACAUUCUGUGAAAAGUUUCAAAUUGGAGAAUAUUGAAUUUUCACCCUAGUCCAGCAGCUCCGCUGCUCACUUAAAUACAGAUGAAUGAAGACCCCAUUCGGAAAGACACCUGGCCAGCGGUCCAGAGCUGAUGCAGGCCAUGCUGGAGUAUCUGCCAACAUGAUGAAGAAGAGGACAUCCCACAACAACAUCUCGAAUCAGCGAUGCACACUUGGCAGACACAAUGAUUGGCAAAGCAGUGGAACAUAUGUUUGAGACAGAGGAUGGUUCUAAAGAUGAGUGGAGGGGAAUGGUCUUAGCACGUGCACCUGUCAUGAACACAUGGUUUUACAUUACCUAUGAGAAAGACCCUGUCUUGUACAUGUACCAACUCUUAGACGAUUACAAAGAAGGCGACCUUCGCAUUAUGCCUGAUUCCAAUGAUUCACCUCCAGCAGAAAGGGAACCAGGAGAAGUUGUGGACAGCCUGGUAGGCAAACAAGUGGAAUAUGCCAAAGAAGAUGGCUCGAAAAGGACUGGCAUGGUCAUUCAUCAAGUAGAAGCCA